This 441-nucleotide ribosomal RNA is filed under the name uncultured Alphaproteobacteria bacterium. Its description in RNAcentral is "bacterial SSU rRNA". It matches the Rfam family "Bacterial small subunit ribosomal RNA", at positions 338 to 795 of the family's 1533-position model. Lineage: Bacteria; Pseudomonadati; Pseudomonadota; Alphaproteobacteria. The record is from RNAcentral.
CCUACGGGAGGCUGCAGUGGGGAAUCUUGCGCAAUGGACGAAAGUCUGACGCAGCCAUGCCGCGUGAAUGAUGAAGGUCUUAGGAUUGUAAAGUUCUUUAGCCUGUGACGAUGAUGACGGUAACAGGAGAAUAAGCCCCGGCUAACUUCGUGCCAGCAGCCGCGGUAAUACGAAGGGGGCUAGCGUUGUUCGGAAUUACUGGGCGUAAAGCGCGCGUAGGCGGUUUUACAAGCCAGAGGUGAAAUGCCUGAGCUCAACUUAGGAAUUGCCUUUGGAACUGUAUGGCUUUGAGGACGAGAGAGGUGAGUGGAAUUCCCAGUGUAGAGGUGAAAUUCGUAGAUAUUGGGAAGAACACCGGUGGCGAAGGCGGCUCACUGGCUCGUUACUGACGCUGUAGCGCGAAAGCGUGGGGAUCAAACAGGAUUAGAUACCCCGGUAGUC